Molecule: ribosomal RNA, 497 nt
Filed under: uncultured bacterium
Lineage: Bacteria
Description: partial 16S ribosomal RNA
Rfam family: Bacterial small subunit ribosomal RNA
Source: RNAcentral
GAUGAACGCUGGCGGCGUGCCUAAUACAUGCAAGUCGAGCGAACAGACGAGGAGCUUGCUCCUCUGACGUUAGCGGCGGACGGGUGAGUAACACGUGGAUAACCUACCUAUAAGACUGGGAUAACUUCGGGAAACCGGAGCUAAUACCGGAUAACAUGUUGAACCGCAUGGUUCAACAGUGAAAGACGGUUUUGCUGUCACUUAUAGAUGGAUCCGCGCCGCAUUAGCUAGUUGGUAAGGUAACGGCUUACCAAGGCGACGAUGCGUAGCCGACCUGAGAGGGUGAUCGGCCACACUGGAACUGAGACACGGUCCAGACUCCUACGGGAGGCAGCAGUAGGGAAUCUUCCGCAAUGGGCGAAAGCCUGACGGAGCAACGCCGCGUGAGUGAAGAAGGUCUUCGGAUCGUAAAACUCUGUUAUUAGGGAAGAACAAAUGUGUAAGUAACUAUGCACGUCUUGACGGUACCUAAUCAGAAAGCCACGGCUAACUACGUG